AAGCAGAAAAUGCCAGUCUCAUUUGGCCCAAAAAAGAACAGAAUGUAUUGGAGAAUCAUGUGUAGGCCACCUAGUAAUUUGUAAACCAGCAAACAUGUCAAACACAUGGAUCAUUGUUGCAGCAGGUGCUAAAAUCUUCCCAUGGUGAUUGAAGCAUAAGGAAGUAAUUGCAGGUGGAUCUUCACCAAGAGGAAGAAAAGGUGUUGAUUGUAUUUUACCGGUGCAAAAUGAUUCGUUUUUAUGCGUGUUGUGGGGUUGUAAAAUAUGCUAGGAAGGUGUUUGAUGAAAUCACUGAAAGGGAUUUGGUGUCCUGAAAUUCAAUUAUUAAUUAGCAUCGGUGAGUUGGGUAUUGCUCAUGACAUUUUUUGAUAUAAUGCAUAAGAAAAAUGCUAUUUCAAGGAAUACCAUGAUUAGUGGAUACUUGAGAUUAAUAACCCUGGUAUUGGGGAGUGGUGACAAAGGACUGAUUGAGGAGGUGGGUCAAGAUUGAGAAGACCAUAGGUGGUGGAGGUGAAGAAGAUAAUGCGGUAACUCAGUGCUAAGCUGCUGAAUUGAGUGAAGUCAUCACGGAAUUUCCGCUGAUUUUUAACGGAUUAGUUGACGGUAGGGUGUGAUUGUAUCAUUGUCAAUAGUGUAGGAUAUAAUUGUUAAAAUUUUUAGUUUAGGUGUGAAAUUGUAAAAAUAAGCAAAGUUCCAAGAUUUUUUUGGACAUUUCCCCUUUAAUUAAUAAAAUUUGCAUAUAAAUAUGUAAUAAUUUUAAUGAUAAUUGUGAAUUAAUAAAAAAAUAUAUUUAAUAUAAUCAGUCAAGAUUAUAAAAAAAAUUUAUGUUUAAUAGCAUGAGUUAAGGAGGGUAAUGAGAUUUGGAAUUGAGGGAUUCAGCUACUAUAUUACAGAAACAUGAAUUGGUCACCACCGACAAAGCCAACCAUGCGUUGGGGUUUGGCGCAGACGCUAUCAAGAAUGUGGCUUCUCUCACUGUCAAAUAUAAAUGAGCUAAAAACAUGGACAAGUAGAUGUAGCUCCAAGUUCCAAUGACCCCAAAUUCCAAAAUGAAUCACAAUUACCCAAAAAAUGGGUCCGAUUUUUCUCUAACUCUUUAAAAGUGAAGGAAUAACAAUCACACCAUCAAAUUGCUUUAGACUGGAUUUUUUUUUUUAUUUUUUUUUUU
This 1168-nucleotide unclassified non-coding RNA is filed under the name Hevea brasiliensis (rubber tree). The record is from RNAcentral. Lineage: Eukaryota; Viridiplantae; Streptophyta; Magnoliopsida; Malpighiales; Euphorbiaceae.